Molecule: non-coding RNA, 868 nt
Organism: Dipodomys spectabilis (banner-tailed kangaroo rat)
Lineage: Eukaryota; Metazoa; Chordata; Mammalia; Rodentia; Heteromyidae
Source: the annotation of a RefSeq genome assembly
AUUAUAAGUCUUCAAGUGAUUGUAAUUGGGAAGAAAUAUGAAGAGAUUGAUUCAUGGUAUAUGCUUGCUCUUGUGGCUGCAGCUGAACUGGGUGAGUGAAGGAGAGAAACUGGAGCAGAGUCCGUCUAUCCUGAGCAUGCAGGAGGGAGACAGCUGUGUCAUCAACUGUACUUAUUCAGACAGUGCUUCAGACUACUUUGUUUGGUACAAGCAAGAGCCAGGACAAGGUCUUCAGCUCAUUAUAAACAUUCGUUCAAAUAGGGACAAAAUUGAAAAUGAAAAAUUCCUUGUGUUUUUGAAAAAGAAGGACAAACACUUCUUCCUGCACAUCAAAGAUGCCCAGCCUGGGGACUCGGCUGUCUACUUCUGUGCAGCAAGAACACAUUGCUCCCCAGGCACCUGCAGCCUGUCUUCAAACUUGCCACCAAGACUGGAGCUCCAGCCCAUACUUUGCCACAGACCUUCUGGCAUAGCAUUUGACAAUUGUUUACAAGUAGCAGCUAAACACAAACAUUUAGGUCUAAGGAGACCCUGACAGACUGGCUUUGAACCCUGAUCCUCAAAUCUCAGCCAUCUGAGUAUUACAUGCAUGAUCCACUGGCAACCAGAGUGAUGGUAUCUUGGAAUCCAGACAUUUUCUGUGAGUUUACAAUAACUAUUCAAACUUCAUACAAAAACUUUAAUAUCAAUAUCAACUUUCUCUUGUGCAUGGAGUUUGAGUCUGUUGAAAGUUUCAGGUUACUUUAUUGGAUUAUCUAUUAUAUGCUAAAUAUGUUACAUAAAUAAAGCAUCAAAAUAUAAAACUGAGAAGUCUGUAUCCAGAUUAUCUGUUUGAACCAUUUGAUCAAGUGAUACAACGAAGUUGGUA